UACAGAGGUCUCAAGCGUUGUUCGGAUUCAUUGGGCGUAAAGGGUGCGUAGGCGGCGAGGCAAGUCUGGUGUGAAAUCCCGGGGCUCAACUCCGGAACUGCACUGGAUACUGCUUUGCUAGAGUACUGGAGAGGGAACUGGAAUUUACGGUGUAGCAGUGAAAUGCGUAGAUAUCGUAAGGAAGACCAGCGGCGAAGGCGAGUUCCUGGACAGUUACUGACGCUGAGGCACGAAGGCCAGGGGAGCAAACGGG
RNAcentral lists this ribosomal RNA (253 nucleotides) under uncultured bacterium. Its description in RNAcentral is "partial 16S ribosomal RNA". It matches the Rfam family "Bacterial small subunit ribosomal RNA", at positions 524 to 776 of the family's 1533-position model. The record is from RNAcentral.